This 465-nucleotide ribosomal RNA is filed under the name uncultured Klebsiella sp. RNAcentral's name for it is "bacterial SSU rRNA". It matches the Rfam family "Bacterial small subunit ribosomal RNA", at positions 338 to 795 of the family's 1533-position model. The record is from RNAcentral. Lineage: Bacteria; Pseudomonadati; Pseudomonadota; Gammaproteobacteria; Enterobacterales; Enterobacteriaceae.
CCUACGGGGGGCAGCAGUGGGGAAUAUUGCGCAAUGGGCGCAAGCCUGAUGCAGCCAUGCCGCGUGUGUGAAGAAGGCCUUCGGGUUGUAAAGCACUUUCAGCGGGGAGGAAGGCGUUAAGGUUAAUAACCUUGUCGAUUGACGUUACCCGCAGAAGAAGCACCGGCUAACUCCGUGCCAGCAGCCGCGGUAAUACGGAGGGUGCAAGCGUUAAUCGGAAUUACUGGGCGUAAAGCGCACGCAGGCGGUCUGUCAAGUCGGAUGUGAAAUCCCCGGGCUCAACCUGGGAACUGCAUUCGAAACUGGCAGGCUAGAGUCUUGUAGAGGGGGGUAGAAUUCCAGGUGUAGCGGUGAAAUGCGUAGAGAUCUGGAGGAAUACCGGUGGCGAAGGCGGCCCCCUGGACAAAGACUGACGCUCAGGUGCGAAAGCGUGGGGAGCAAACAGGAUUAGAUACCCUAGUAGUC